GCCCGACAGGGUUGAUAGUAUCCAAAGAGGAAGGGACGGCUAACUUCGUGCCAGCAGCCGCGGUAAUACGAAGGUCCCAAGCG
This 83-nucleotide ribosomal RNA is filed under the name uncultured Verrucomicrobiaceae bacterium. RNAcentral describes it as "partial 16S ribosomal RNA". It matches the Rfam family "Bacterial small subunit ribosomal RNA", at positions 458 to 540 of the family's 1533-position model. Lineage: Bacteria; Pseudomonadati; Verrucomicrobiota; Verrucomicrobiia; Verrucomicrobiales; Verrucomicrobiaceae. The record is from RNAcentral.